AAGGUUCAUGGUCAAAAUAGAUUAUUCCCAGAAUUACUGCAAGUGGUCUUUGGGCAGCAGCAGAGUCAUCCUGGUCGACUUGUUGAUUUAUUGUAUAUGUGGCUCUACCCAUCUUGAAGCAGAACUGCAUGUGCUGGGUUCAAUUUUGAUGAAUGAGGUGUGGUGCACAGAUGGAGAAAAGGUCAAGACACUGACGGAAGUGGAAGCCUGCAAAGCCAGAGAGAGACCUUCAGUUGGGGUCCAUGUAAAGAGUGUGGGAAGGCUUUCUGGAGCCUAGUUGAUACCUCUCCCCACUGGCUAACACCCUUUGCUCUGUCACCCUUAGCCUGAGAUUUUACCCAAGUCAACAUUCACUUAGGUGAUUAAGUGCAAGUAUUUCCAGGAAGCCUAAGCAAAAUAUGAUAGCCAUUUCAACUUCAAGGAAGUCUCCCUCUUAGCUGUGAUUAAU
This is a long non-coding RNA of Lutra lutra (Eurasian river otter), 448 nucleotides long. RefSeq lists it as uncharacterized. NCBI's taxonomy places the organism in Eukaryota, Metazoa, Chordata, Mammalia, Carnivora, Mustelidae. The transcript is spliced from 2 exons. The record is from RefSeq and is a predicted model, not a curated record.